This 338-nucleotide unclassified non-coding RNA is filed under the name soil metagenome. Its description in RNAcentral is "partial contains 5.8S ribosomal RNA, internal transcribed spacer 2, and large subunit ribosomal RNA". The stretch from base 1 to 121 matches the Rfam family "5.8S ribosomal RNA", at positions 35 to 154 of the family's 154-position model. The record is from RNAcentral.
GAUGAAGAACGUAGCGAAAUGCGAUAAGUAAUGCGAAUUGCAGAAUUUCCGUGAGUCAUCGAAUCUUUGAACGCACAUUGCGCCCGCCAGUAUUCUGGCGGGCAUGCCUGUUCGAGCGUCAUUUCAACCAUCAAGCCCCCGGGCUUGUGUUGGGGACCUGCGGCUGCCGCAGGCCCUGAAAAGCAGUGGCGGGCUCGCUGUCACACCGAGCGUAGUAGAUUUUAUCUCGCUCUGGGCGUGCUGCGGGUUCCGGCCGGUAAACCACCCUUUUGACCCAAGGUUGACCUCGGAUCAGGUAGGAAGACCCGCUGAACUUAAGCAUAUCAAUAAGCGGAGGA